AAUUUUUAAGAAUUAAACAGAAAUUUUUAUACGAAUAUCUGGUGAAUAGUAAUGAUAUUCCACAUGCUUUUGGGCCCCAUUCAGCUUGGUGCAAGGGGCAGACUGAUCUCAUCUGGUUACGCCACUAGUGUGUACAUGUUAAAUAAUUUAUCAAAUCUUUCAAGGUUAUUCCUGUCCAUUAUGAUAGAUAAUAGUGACUUUAGUAUACUUAAUUCUUUAGAAAAUUUUUGUUUAUUAUUCAGUUCAUAUUUAAUUCAUUUUGCUUAGGUAUACUAAAUUUUAAUCUAAUUUUAUUGAAAUUUGAGAAAGAUUUCUUUUGAGCAUUAUUUUAGCUUGAGAGCUGAUGAAUAUGUACAAUCACAUGGAAAUAGAAAUCAGAUAAAGGUUGUCCUCAAUAUGAUGGCGAUAUAAUCAAUUUAAAUUAUGUGAAUGUUCAAUGCAAUUCAUGUGAGAGUGUCAUGUAUAAUGAUGUAUCAACAAAAUCUUCUCUCUCUCUGGUGUCUGUAAUUUUGUGUUCAUUACAAUAAUGUAUAUGGGAUAAUGGGAAAUCCAUAAAUUUAGGAUAUUUCUG
RNAcentral lists this long non-coding RNA (571 nucleotides) under Androctonus crassicauda. The record is from RNAcentral. Lineage: Eukaryota; Metazoa; Arthropoda; Arachnida; Scorpiones; Buthidae.